RNAcentral lists this ribosomal RNA (427 nucleotides) under uncultured bacterium. RNAcentral's name for it is "bacterial SSU rRNA". It matches the Rfam family "Bacterial small subunit ribosomal RNA", at positions 355 to 774 of the family's 1533-position model. The record is from RNAcentral.
UGGGGAAUCUUCCGCAAUGGGCGAAAGCCUGACGGAGCAACGCCGCGUGAGUGAUGACGGCCUUCGGGUUGUAAAGCUCUGUUAUAUGGGACGAACGGGCAUGGGGCCAAUACCCUCAUGCAGUGACGGUACCGUAAGAGAAAGCCACGGCUAACUACGUGCCAGCAGCCGCGGUAAUACGUAGGUGGCAAGCGUUGUCCGGAAUUAUUGGGCGUAAAGGGCGUGUAGGCGGCCAGACAAGUCUGUCUUAAAAGUGCGGGGCUCAACCCCGUGAUGGGAUGGAAACUGUCGGGCUAGAGUGUCGGAGAGGAAAGCGGAAUUCCUAGUGUAGCGGUGAAAUGCGUAGAUAUUAGGAGGAACACCAGUGGCGAAAGCGGCUUUCUGGACGACAACUGACGCUGAGGCGCGAAAGCCAGGGGAGCAAACG